Ziziphus jujuba (common jujube) is the source of this 3959-nucleotide RNA transcript. It is a transcript of the gene named pullulanase 1, chloroplastic-like, with no coding region annotated. NCBI's taxonomy places the organism in Eukaryota, Viridiplantae, Streptophyta, Magnoliopsida, Rosales, Rhamnaceae. The transcript has 11 exons. The record is from RefSeq and is a predicted model, not a curated record.
GCCAUUAAAAAGAAAGUUAAAAAGAGUAAAGGGAGAGUGAGACUUGAGAGAUUCUCGGUUGCCAAACACCCCAAUGUGGUGGGCAAUGUCUCUUCUUCUAAGUUCCUCUCCACUCCACAUUUCAUUCUCAACUCCUCCUCCAACCUCCGUCGGUCACUUCCCUCCUCCACCACGCCCCACUCUCUCAUAACAUUCUUCUUCGGAACGACAACGUUUUAAUCUCCACAGUGAAACCCCUUCAGUCCCUUCCUUGCUCAAAACAUCCCAUUCGCUGUUGCUCUUCCUCCUCCAUGUCCUCCCAGGCAUCCCCUUCAACCUCUCCGGUUCUCCCAUUCUCUUCUCCAUAUUCUGUUCUCAAAAAUUCCAGGACAGCUUCUUGUAUUCAAGAGCGUACUGUGUCAGUGAAUACAUUAUUGCAUGGAAUGUGGAUGUUGGAAAUGAUUGCUGCUGCUUAUUUGCUAGUAAAGCCGCUGCUUUGUCAUUUACUGAUGAUGGUAUUCAAGGCCAGGAUAUGAAAGUUAAGCUUGAAGACCAAAUUUGCAGUGCCAGUGACCACGCUAUGGAGACCAAAUUUCGUGGUGGUUAUCUGACCUUCACUAUGCAGAUAAUAAGACACUAAAAAGUUUCCUCCAGAUUCAGCUCAGCAACAAGAUUUAAUUAUAGCUGUCCAAAAUGAUGAUGGGUACAACUGGGGGUAUAAUCCUGUUCUCUAGGGUGUCCCUAAAGGCAGCUAUGCAAGUAACCCAACUGGUUCCUGCCGUAUAAUUGAGUUUAGAAAGAUGGAUCAGGUUUGAUGUUUUGUCAUUGUUAAGUUAUCAAUUUUCCAAAAUGCUUAAACUAAUUGGAAUUAAAUUUAAGCCGAUUUAUGUGUAUCAAGAUAAUAAUAGUAAUAAUUCACCCAAAAAAACAAAAAAGAAGAAGUUAACAAUAGUAAUAGAAAUUGUAGUAAAUGUGUCAUCGCUUGAUUGAGACAUGUUAACGCUUGAUGUGAGGCCCUGCUGUUACUACUAAAUUACCACUUCUUCCAAAAGCUUAUGCUCUCGGGAAGAGGGUCAUCUAUAUGUUUAUGUUCUGUUAAAACUCCCCUUCAAUUAGCAAGACAAAAAAUGGCUCUUACAUGUACAGAACAAUUAAUCAUUAGAAAUGGGGUUAGUAGGACUGAUCAUAAGACUAGAAAGCAGACUUUUCUUUGGUCAUCAAACAAGAAGAAUAGGUUACGAUUUUGAGUUACUACUAUUUACAAAAGCUUAAUCUAUUAGGAAGUGAAUCGAACUAUGUAUAUCAGGUUAACUUUAGCAGUGUUGACAGUUUAAUAGCCUUUAUUGCUAAGGCAGUGCUAAAGAUCUUGUGUCUAAUCUUACGUUUUUCUCAUUAGUAUGUUUAGCUUAGACUGUUAAAUGUUACUUGUGACAUCUUAACUUUUUCUUUCUCUUACCAAUAGAAAAAUGUACUCUAGAUAUGGAAUAAAGAUAUAUUAGUUCUGGUAAGUUUUCACCUAAAAAAAAUUAGUUCUGGUAUGUCUAUUAAGUGUUGCGUUGGAUUUUUCUUAAAUCGUUGGUAUUCAAUUUAAGUGUUGCUUUCAAUGUUUUACUGUCCUCUUAAGAGAUAAUUUCCCAUUUACCUGUUUCCUGAUUUUAUAUUUACUGUUUUUGGUUGUCUCCUUAUAGUUUUAUUUAAUAUUAAGAAAAUAUAUGUAUUUGGUUCAAGCACUUAAUCAUAUUGGUCUCCACGUUGUCAGAUGUUGUCUACAACCAUUUGCAUGGAAGUGGGCCCUUAGAUGAAAAUUCUGUUCUUGACAAGGUUGUGAUUUGUUUAUUAUUAAUUUUGUCUGUCUACCUUUGCUUAACUCAUAAUUUGUUAUUCCUGCAAAGUUUGCCCACUCCUCUCUUUUCCUUGGCGGAUUGUUCCAGGUUACUAUUUGAGAAGAAACACUGCUAGUUUUAUUGAGAAUAGCACAUGUGUGAAGGGUUUAGCGUUUAAUUAUUGAUGAUCUUUUGCACUGGACGGUUGACCAUAAGGUGAUUGUUUAGGCUGUAAGAUGGUAAAAAACAGCUUCGCAUGCUAGUGCAAAAGAUUUUUUGGUUCCUACUCAAGUUAGGGUUUAUGAUUUUGAUCCAUCAAUAUAGCUAUAAUUCUUGAUUUUACAACAUUUUCAAUCGGUCAUAUGACUUUUUGGUUAGGUUGAUGGGUUCUGUUUUGAUCUUAUGGGUCACAUAAUGAAAAGAACAAUGGUAAGCAAGUCUGACCAAUUUGGCAUGGUGUGAUCAUAAACACAAAUUGGCUAAGUAACUAAUAAUAAUAAUAAUAAUAUGUCUAUAUGAGAGCAAAAAUGUGCUGUGCAGCCUAAAAACAGAGAGGGAUGGAGUUGAUGGUUCAAGUGUCUACAGGUAAGUUGGUGUCAUUGUGUGAUUUUCAGUAUUAUCAAAGUAACAGUUUGGGUCUCCAGUUUUCUUUCUCUGCACGUUAUAUGUUAAUAAUAUUUAUUUACAUAUAAUUUUCUAAAGAUAUGGUGAAGGAUGGGAUUUUGGUGAAGUUGCCAAGAAUGGAUGCGGAGUUAAUGCAUCACAGUUCAAUCUUCCUGAGACUGGAAUUCAGAGUUACUUCAUUAUUUCCAUGAUUGUGCUGGAAAGCAAGUUUAUGCCAAAGAAAUAUAAAUUGCAUAUAUUUUAUCAAGAACAUUAUCAUCAUCUGUUUAGAGUUAGGCAAAGGAAAUGUUAGGCUAUCACACCCUAUAAAAUAAACAGAAAUAAUUACGUACCUUGUAAGUUGUAAAUGGAUACAUUUAUUUGUAUAGCUUUCUUAUGGGAGCUUCUAAACUUUGUUGUUUUAUAAUUUUCAUUAAUAAGAAAGUUCAGUGACUUCCCUCCCUUCCAACCCCGCCCCCCCCCCCCCCCCCCCUCUUUCAAUUGAAUCAACUAAUACAAUUCUUCCAACAGAAUGGUAAAUACUUUAUCUGGAAAAAAUAAAAUAAACAGCCAGUAUAACUUUAGAAAACGCCUUCCUACUGUGACUAACUGAAAAUAAAAGUAAAUCCCUAAACUUUUUUUGAAGUUGAAGCCCAUAAGGUGCCAAGGAGUGGAGAUGAUCCCAAAACAUUCUGCAUCUUGUUAUAAAUGAAUCAUCAGUGCCUACAAUCAUGUUGUGUUGUCUUGAUGUAUAAUUAUCUUGUCAUUUCAGUUGCAGGUGCUUCACUAUCUUCGUGACACAUUUAUUUGCAUAAAUAAUUUGAAAUUUUGAUUCAGUUUCAACGAUCGGAUUCGGGUUGCAAUACUUGGUGGAUCUUCAUUUGGCCAUCCUCUUCAGCAAGGAUUUGCGACUGCUCUAUUUUUGCAGCUUAAUGGUCACAACCAGGACACAGCUGCCAAAAAACUUAUGCUUGCUGUGUCAAAAGAUCACAUCCAGGUUGGGAUGGCUGCAAAUUUGAGGGACUUUGUUCUAACCGAUUAUGAAGGAAGGAGUUAUACAAUAAUACCUGAGAAUAAAGUCGGAUGCAGUUGAUAUUAAAACUGAAAAUAGAUUGCCUUGACAUUUGCAUUAUGAUUUUACUCAGGUAAAAGGGUUGGAAGUAUUAACUCAUGAUGGAGUACCAGUUUCAUAUGCUUCAUGCCCUACUGAAACUCAUCAUCUUUUAUGUUCUGUGGUAAAUCUCUGGAUACCUUGUGUGCAAGCCCAUAAUCUUUAUGAGUUCAGUUAUCUAACAACAACAGUCAAUAUGGAUGAAUGUAAGAGAGAGGGAAUCUCAAUGGCUUUGGGAUCAAGGGUAUUGGUAUUUUUCAAGGCAGUUGGAGGUCUUACCGAAGGUUCAUUACGUUUCUGCUCAUAACAAUGAAACCCUGUUUGAUAUUGUGAGCCUGAAGUACGUGCUUGAGUGCUUGUGCCAUGCAGACACAGAGUCAACCAGUAUCUAAAUAAUUUCUGGCUCCAGGGAAUAUCGUUUUUCCAUUCCGGUUUAUUUUUAA